This 909-nucleotide long non-coding RNA is filed under the name Felis catus (domestic cat). RNAcentral's name for it is "lncRNA (ENSFCAG00000052941.1)". The record is from RNAcentral. Lineage: Eukaryota; Metazoa; Chordata; Mammalia; Carnivora; Felidae.
ACCAAGGAGUGUUGGGAGGCCCUUCCCGCUCUGACCUGCCCUGUUUCCUGAAAGGGCUAUCAGGCCCCGGACACUGUGUCCCAAGCACAGUGGGGACAGGGGCAAGGCUUUCGAAGUCUCCCCCGGGAUGGGGGCUGGCGUGAUUUGCAUGAAGCACUCUCAGGCCUCCCUGGGUGGGGGUCACUCCUGUCCCUUCUGCUGAGGAUGUGGGUGGGUGGGGGAAGGGGAGGGCUUACUGUCUACCCACCAGGCGCUUCUGGUUUCAGAAGGAAAGUAACUGCUGAAGACGCCCCCAGGGACCCAGCCGGAGGCCCCAGUCCAGCAGGGGCAGAGAGCCCGGGUGGAAAGGGCCAGGAAAGACGGGUGGGCAGGUCGGCUACUGCAACCAUGUAAGAGCUGACAGCUGCACGACGUGCUUCGGGAGGCAGCAGACCCAGGGGCGAAGCCCAAGGCCUCCGGAGCCAGCCUGGUGGAGUUCAAAUUCCAGCUGUAGCACUGAACUAACCAGGUGACUCCGGCUGAUUCUUUACUCCAGCGCCCCUCCUUCCCUGCAUCCAGAGUGAGCCUUUCAAACAAACUGGAUGGUUUCCCUCGUCUCUUCUCAACCUCCUGACAGCUAUUCACCACUUGUAGAGUGAAAUCCAAGUGCCUCACCGAGGCUCACGGCAGAGGCCACCAGUGCUCACCAAAACCUACAUUCUCCUCUGGGUCCUGGACUCACCCCUGCAACGUGCCUCAGCCUCCUUGCACGGGUGGAGGUGGGGCGGGGAGGGCAGGGGCGUGGCCUCUCCCCUCGCAUUUCUCAUUGGCCAGCUAGACGUGGGGGAUCCACCGAGGAUUCUGAGGAGAUGAAAGGGCCCCAAGUUGGAAGGUGCCUGGGUCCUUGGGUGUGUGGAACAAGACCCCUGU